Molecule: ribosomal RNA, 479 nt
Filed under: uncultured bacterium
Lineage: Bacteria
Description: partial 16S ribosomal RNA
Rfam family: Bacterial small subunit ribosomal RNA
Source: RNAcentral
GAUGAACGCUAGCGGGAGGCCUAACACAUGCAAGCCGAGCGGUAUUUGUUCUUCGGAACAGAGAGAGCGGCGCACGGGUGCGGAACACGUGUGCAACCUGCCUUUAUCUGGGGGAUAGCCUUUCGAAAGGAAGAUUAAUACCCCAUAAUAUAUUGAGUGGCAUCAUUUGAUAUUGAAAACUCCGGUGGAUAGAGAUGGGCACGCGCAAGAUUAGAUAGUUGGUGAGGUAACGGCUCACCAAGUCAAUGAUCUUUAGGGGGCCUGAGAGGGUGAUCCCCCACACUGGUACUGAGACACGGACCAGACUCCUACGGGAGGCAGCAGUGAGGAAUAUUGGACAAUGGGUUAGCGCCUGAUCCAGCCAUCCCGCGUGAAGGACGACGGCCCUAUGGGUUGUAAACUUCUUCUGUAUAGGGAUAAACCUACUCUCGUGAGAGUAGCUGAAGGUACUAUACGAAUAAGCACCGGCUAACUCCGUG